Telopea speciosissima is the source of this 152-nucleotide long non-coding RNA. RefSeq lists it as uncharacterized. NCBI's taxonomy places the organism in Eukaryota, Viridiplantae, Streptophyta, Magnoliopsida, Proteales, Proteaceae. The record is from RefSeq and is a predicted model, not a curated record. The transcript is spliced from 3 exons.
AUCUCGUCUUGGCUCUCUCCCUCGAUGGCCUCCUCACCAACACAGGCUUGAUGAAGGCGUCAGAGCUCAGAGGUUGCCUCUUAUGGCUUGCGGGAGUUAAUGGAAGUGCCAUUGAAACAAUAUAAGUAGAUCCCAUUUCUCUCUCUCUCUUA